This 738-nucleotide small RNA is filed under the name Pongo abelii (Sumatran orangutan). RNAcentral's name for it is "sense overlapping". The stretch from base 14 to 289 matches the Rfam family "SOX2 overlapping transcript exon 3". Lineage: Eukaryota; Metazoa; Chordata; Mammalia; Primates; Hominidae. The record is from RNAcentral.
CAGGGGAUUGCAGUGGCAAAGCUAGGCUAGGUCUUGGAGGCUGGUGUAAGGCGAUGCGGGUGAAGGCAGGAGGCUGAUGGAAAGACUGGGGGGAAGAAAAGCCGAAAUGGAUUCACGGUGCCUUGGAUGAAGGACGAGAGGGGAACUGCAAGCUCCUUCAACUGGUUCUGUCCGGUGAGAAGUGAUCAAGCUUGGGCUGACAAGAGGCUCAGGGAGCCCUCACGUUCUUUCGCUUUUUUACCUGCCAAUCAAACUGCUACAAGACAACACCCUGAUCUGGCAUGGACAUUCAUUGCAGUCACCUGGAGUCGCGGAAAUGACCAUGAUUGCCUGAACUUUCAUAACUUCUGUGGUUGCAGAAAAGAGAAAACCUGGACUGUGAGGGACAUUUUACUCCCUGACCUUUGGCCUCCCUACAGCGUUGGCUCAGCUCUAGCUACUUGGAAGGUCGUGGCAAUGCUGUCUCAGAAUGUCCAUUUCUAGAGUACAGGGAAGAAAUUCUAGCUUGACGUCCACGUGCAUUUGUCUGUGUUUCAGAGGAAAUUCCAGUUCUAAACUCUUGGAAGAAACAAUUUCUCGGCAUGCUGAAGAGACUUGCUGUUUUUUGGCACCUGAAACAUUUUUACCUGAGGGUUCUGAUUAUUUAAAUAAUUGGUAUGCUAUAACUAUUCUGGCUGACAGAAAUGUGGUUUAAUGUAGAUGAGUUGUAAAAACAUGUGACAAACAUGCUCCAGGCUA